This 346-nucleotide ribosomal RNA is filed under the name uncultured bacterium. RNAcentral describes it as "partial 16S ribosomal RNA". It matches the Rfam family "Bacterial small subunit ribosomal RNA", at positions 338 to 681 of the family's 1533-position model. The record is from RNAcentral.
CCUACGGGAGGCAGCAGUGAGGAAUAUUGGUCAAUGGACGAGAGUCUGAACCAGCCAAGUAGCGUGAAGGAUGACGGCCCUAUGGGUUGUAAACUUCGUUUAUAUGGGAAUAAAAUGUGCCACGUGUGGGAUUUUGUAUGUACCAUAUGAAUAAGGAUCGGCUAACUCCGUGCCAGCAGCCGCGGUAAUCCGGAGGAUCCGAGCGUUAUCCGGAUUUAUUGGGUUUAAAGGGAGCGUAGGUGGAUUGUUAAGUCAGUUGUGAAAGUUUGCGGCUCAACCGUACAAUUGCAGUUGAAACUGGCAGUCUUGCGUACAUUAGAGGUGGGCUGACUUCGUGUUGUAGCUG